AGUAAUUACACCUUGUUUUAAGGAAGCCGGUAACUCCCCAUUUUCUAUUGAUUCGUGAAACAUAGCAAGAAUGAAAGGAAUCAAUUUAUCAUUGAAUGCUUUAUAAAACUCGCUUAUUAAACCAUCAUUUCCAGGGGACCUAUUGUCCUUAAGGCUUUUAAUACAGUCUUUUAUCUCAAUUUCAGGUAACUCAUCACAAAAAUCCCUGAAAUCAUUAUCUAUCUUAGCAAUGUUUGCAGCACGUCAUGCUCUUAUCAACUGAGCUACGAAGGAGCACGUCGAAGUCACUAGAAUGAUGACAAGCAAUUUUAAGGGAUUCUAAAGGGAAUCAGAAUUCCAAACUAAUUUCUAUGGCAACACAGUUGUCAAUUUUGUAAACAAUCAUUUUCGAACGUGUGUUGCCAAGAGACAUCUAACCGACGUUCUAUGGAACGUUUUCUGUGCGAAAACAACAACUUUGCUGCUGACAACAAACUUGUUUGAUUUUUGAGACCUGAGAACAAUCGACUGGAAAAUGCCUGGGUGCUUUUCAAGACUGGCGGAGAGAGUGCGUGGACGUCGGCGGCCUACUGCGUCGACAGGUUGUUCAAAUUCAUUUGUGGCUUGUUUUUCUUGUCUUUUUCUGUUUUGCAGGGUUCGUGAUCGUCGACAGGUGGACAGCGACUUCGAAGAGGAAACAACUGUCCUGGAUGAGGUCCAGUUGGAUGUGCCAUUGGAUGAUGUGCUAGAUGUUCCACAGCUGCCAGUCCUCCUUGAUGUCCAGAAUGCUGCUAUCAUCCUUGAGGAUGUGCCAGAUGUGCAGACUAUCCUUGAGGUACAAUUUUCUGAAAGUUUGGGGUUUUAUGUUUGAAAAAUAUCCCAGAUAUUCAAGUUGUGUCUCUUUAACAUGAAACACAUCUCUUGUCUGCUUUCUGCUUUAGGAGGCCACUGGCAUUUGGCAGUUGAUUCCGAUUAGGUUCAGCCCCCAGUACUGUGGGCCUGUUGUGAACAUGGUAAGAGCCCCCCCCCCCCCACACACACACACACACAGUCACAUCACUGUUACAAUGUUUACUGUUUCCAACAUGGAUGUAUUGUAAUGUGCAGAACAAUGCCGGUCCGGUGGUUAAAGCUUGGAGAACUUUCCAGUUCAUCAG
Molecule: long non-coding RNA, 1136 nt
Filed under: Oncorhynchus kisutch (coho salmon)
Lineage: Eukaryota; Metazoa; Chordata; Actinopteri; Salmoniformes; Salmonidae
Description: lncRNA (ENSOKIG00005007725.1)
Source: RNAcentral